This 908-nucleotide ribosomal RNA is filed under the name uncultured bacterium. RNAcentral describes it as "bacterial SSU rRNA". It matches the Rfam family "Bacterial small subunit ribosomal RNA", at positions 27 to 960 of the family's 1533-position model. The record is from RNAcentral.
GGACGAACGCUGGCGGCGUGCUUAACACAUGCAAGUUGAACGGUAUGACAUGGAAGCUUGCUGAAGUGUCAUAUAGUAGCGGACGGGUGAGUAAUGCAUGAGAAGCUGCCAUUGGGAGGGGGACAACAGUUGGAAACGGCUGCUAAUACCCCGUAUGCCGGAAGGUGAAAGGGAGUAAUCCGCCCGAUGAGGUGCUCAUGUCCUAUCAGCUGGUUGGUGGGGUAACGGCCUACCAAGGCGACGACGGGUAGCCGGCCUGAGAGGUGAACGGCCACACUGGAACUGAGAUACGGUCCAGACUCCUACGGGAGGCAGCAGUGGGGAAUAUUGGGCAAUGGGGGCAACCCUGACCCCAGCGACGCCGCGUGGGGGAAGACGGCCUUCGGGUUGUAAACUUCUUUUGUACGGGAAGAAGGAAGUGACGGUACUGUACGAAUAAGUCCCGGCUAACUACGUGCCAGCAGCCGCGGUAAUACGUAGGGGACGAGCGUUGUCCGGAAUUACUGGGCGUAAAGGGCGCGCAGGCUGUGCUGCAAGUCAGCUGUUAAAUGUCUGGGCUUAACCCGGGCAUGCGGUUGAGACUGUGGUGCUGGAGUGCUGUAGAGGCAAGUGGAAUUCCCAGUGUAGCGGUGAAAUGCGUAGAUAUUGGGAAGAACACCGGUGGCGAAGGCGACUUGCUGGGCAGCAACUGACGCUGAGGCGCGAAAGCCAGGGGAGCAAACGGGAUUAGAUACCCCGGUAGUCCUGGCCGUAAACGAUGAAUGCUAGGUGUGGGUGUAGAGAUACAUUCGUGCCGGAGUUAACGCGAUAAGCAUUCCGCCUGGGGAGUACGGUCGCAAGAUUGAAACUCAAAGGAAUUGACGGGGGCCCGCACAAGCGGUGGAGCACGUGGUUUAAUUCGAUGCAAA